Molecule: ribosomal RNA, 253 nt
Filed under: uncultured soil bacterium
Lineage: Bacteria
Description: partial 16S ribosomal RNA
Rfam family: Bacterial small subunit ribosomal RNA
Source: RNAcentral
AGAGUGAACGCUGGCGGCAGGCCUAACACAUGCAAGUCGAACGGCAGCACAGGGGAGCUUGCUCCCUGGGUGGCGAGUGGCGGACGGGUGAGGAAUGCGUCGGAAUCUGCCUUUUCGUGGGGGAUAACGUAGGGAAACUUACGCUAAUACCGCAUGCGACCCUGGUUCGGAGGAUCAGGGUGAAAGCGGGGGACCUUCGGGCCUCGCGCGGAAAGAUGAGCCGACGCCGGAUUAGCUAGUUGGCGGGUAACGG